Long non-coding RNA from Patiria miniata (bat star), 1479 nucleotides. RefSeq lists it as uncharacterized. The transcript has 3 exons. Lineage: Eukaryota; Metazoa; Echinodermata; Asteroidea; Valvatida; Asterinidae. The record is from RefSeq and is a predicted model, not a curated record.
CAGUCUGAGAUAGUUCUCUUAGUUGGGGAGAUAUUUGGGUGGUAACGAAGCAGUGGACCAGGCAAUCAAUCGAGCACACCAUUGAGACAUGGAUCAACCUCCACUGAUUGACAGAGUUGUGCUGACUAAGAUUUACACCAUUGAUGAUAAAAUCUUGACUUCCACCAGCAUCUCUGAUGUACGGUGACUGGUGCUGCCAUAACGGAUCCUUAUCACUAUCUGAUGCAACAGCACUUCACCUCAGAGAUCUUCAAGAUUGAGAUCCAAAAUCUCCCAAGACAUUUUGGAUUUGCGGUUGGGCGUCUGAGUGCAGCUAUCUGUCCGCCGCGCACAUUCAUCGCUGGGUUCAGACCUUCCGGGAAUAUGAUCUGCAGUUCUGUGCUCUUCAUCUGCCCCAGGAGUCCUAGAAACAGUUGGCGGAUCUUGUACAGUUCAACCACAAAACAGUAUGUACUGCCUUGGACAGAUUCCUUUUUAGACUUUUCCACAAAGUUGCAGAAAAGCCUUAGUUUUGUGAAGAUUUUUUGUUUACUUCAUUUUGUUGUAUCCCAAAUCUCCUAGACUUUGCUCAUGCUUUUUUUUUGUGCCCGGUACAUUGGACAUAAAACAUAGUCAUAUCCCUACGAAACUUAAGAUAGACAAAGACCACAUACUAAUGUUGUGCAUAGUGAUGUGGCGUUGUCAUGACGACAUCAUGUGUACUGUGAUGUCAUCUUAAAGGAGCAUAUUUUUAAAACCCAUAUCCCAAAAAAUAAAAGUUUGUAUCGUAUGUUGACAGGGAUGUGUUAGAGAUGAAAAUUGAGGCGAUGUCAUGAUGAUGUCAUCAUGUAAUUGUAUAAAAUCCAUCAGGGGUGCUCCUUUUUUUUUUUCUUCUUCUUCUUCUCUCUCCUAACUGUAUGUGCAUGUUUUUGUUUUCUUUACUGUUCUUAUUGUCUGUACUUGAAUUUUUACCUGUGAAAUUAAUAAAUGAAAUGAAAUGAAAUGUAUAUGGAUUUUUGAAGUUUUGACAAUUAUGGCCAUAUCUCAUGGAAGGCAGGAUGCUAAAGUCAAAACUUUUUGUAAUGGGUUUGUCAGGUCAUAGAUGCUUUAAAAAAAAUUGACAUGUGUGACAUAAGUUGCAUCUUAGCUAGCCAGGAUAGCCUUACGAAGUAAAUCAACUCCAUAUCCCACAUGCUGUCAGCGUGCAGCCAUGCACCAACACUUACAUGGAUUGCCAACCUUCAGCAUUUCUAGGCCUCUGACAUGUUGAAAUAAAGUUUUCAUUAGUGUUAAGUUUUCUUUCAUUAUUUUCUUUGUGUUACCAUUAAAUGUUUUUAUUUUGGAAAUUGUUUUUGCAUUGUGUUGAUAUUUGUUUUUGUUUUGAGUUACAAUUUGAGUUUGAUUAAACAAUAGUUGCUCUUUACUUGUGGGACGUGUGAUUAGGAUUAGCAAAAAGUAAUCCAUGUCCAACAUGUUCACGGAAUGUCGAUCAAUAUUCCU